Small nucleolar RNA from Peromyscus californicus insignis, 129 nucleotides. RefSeq annotates it as small nucleolar RNA SNORA48. Lineage: Eukaryota; Metazoa; Chordata; Mammalia; Rodentia; Cricetidae. The record is from RefSeq and is a predicted model, not a curated record. The transcript has a single exon.
CAUCCUGGCAAUGGGUAAAGAGACACCUUGUUAGUGGUGGUGUUCUUAUGUCAGCCAGGGGCAGAGCAGAUGGUAGUUCUCUGUUCAUCUUAUUUGAUGUCAAAGCUGUUUCAUGCCUAGGGUGCAUUU